RNAcentral lists this ribosomal RNA (301 nucleotides) under uncultured bacterium. Its description in RNAcentral is "partial 16S ribosomal RNA". It matches the Rfam family "Bacterial small subunit ribosomal RNA", at positions 509 to 808 of the family's 1533-position model. The record is from RNAcentral.
CAGCAGCCGCGGGAAUACGUAGGUCCCGAGCGUUGUCCGGAUUUAUUGGGCGUAAAGGGAGCGCAGGCGGUUUAGUAAGUCUGAAGUUAAAGGCAUUGGCUCAACCAAUGUACGCUUUGGAAACUGUUAGACUUGAGUGCAGAAGGGGAGAGUGGAAUUCCAUGUGUAGCGGUGAAAUGCGUAGAUAUAUGGAGGAACACCGGUGGCGAAAGCGGCUCUCUGGUCUGUCACUGACGCUGAGGCUCGAAAGCGUGGGCAGCGAACAGGAUUAGAUACCCCGGUAGUCCCUGUCUCUUAUACA